CAGCCGCCACGGGAAUACGGAGGGUGCAAGCGUUAUCCGGAUUCACUGGGUUUAAAGGGUGCGUAGGCGGGCAGGUAAGUCAGUGGUGAAAUCUUCGAGCUUAACUCGGAAACUGCCGUUGAUACUAUCUGUCUUGAAUAACGUUGAGGUGAGCGGAAUAUGUCAUGUAGCGGUGAAAUGCUUAGAUAUGACAUAGAACACCGAUUGCGAAGGCAGCCCACUAAACGCUCAUUGACGCUGAGGCACGAAAGCGUGGGGAUCAAACAGGAUUAGAUACCCCGGUAGUCCCUGUCUCUUAUAC
Molecule: ribosomal RNA, 301 nt
Filed under: uncultured bacterium
Lineage: Bacteria
Description: partial 16S ribosomal RNA
Rfam family: Bacterial small subunit ribosomal RNA
Source: RNAcentral